AUUGAACGCUGGCGGCAUGCCUUACACAUGCAAGUCGAACGGUAACAGGUUAAGCUGACGAGUGGCGAACGGGUGAGUAAUGUAUCGGAACGUGCCCAGUCGUGGGGGAUAACUCCUCGAAAGAGCAGCUAAUACCGCAUACGAUCUACGGAUAAAGCGGGGGAUCGCAAGACCUCGCGCGAUUGCAGCGCCCGAUAUCUGAUUAGCUAGUUGGUGGGGUAAAGGCCCACCAAGGCGACGAUAAGUAGGUGGUCUGAGAGGCCGACCAGCCACACUGGGAGUGAGACACGGCCCAGACUCCUACGGGAGGCAGCAGUGGGGAAUUUUGGACAAUGGGGGCAACCCUGAUCCAGCCAUGCCGCGUGCAGGAAGAAGGCCUUCGGGUUGUAAACUGCUUUUGUCAGGGAAGAAAUCCUUUGGGCUAAUACCCUGAGGGGAUGACGGUACCUGAGGAAUAAGCACCGGCUAACUACGUGCCAGCCGCCGCAGUAA
RNAcentral lists this ribosomal RNA (492 nucleotides) under uncultured bacterium. RNAcentral describes it as "partial 16S ribosomal RNA". It matches the Rfam family "Bacterial small subunit ribosomal RNA", at positions 30 to 523 of the family's 1533-position model. The record is from RNAcentral.